This 69-nucleotide transfer RNA is filed under the name Spirobranchus giganteus. RNAcentral describes it as "tRNA-Leu". The record is from RNAcentral. Lineage: Eukaryota; Metazoa; Annelida; Polychaeta; Sabellida; Serpulidae.
GGCUCUAUAGUAUACUGUUUAUUACGUCCCCAUUAAGUGCGGAAAGUGUGUCGAGGGGCACUAGAGUCA